This 428-nucleotide ribosomal RNA is filed under the name Amphioctopus fangsiao. RNAcentral describes it as "partial 12S rRNA". Lineage: Eukaryota; Metazoa; Mollusca; Cephalopoda; Octopoda; Octopodidae. The record is from RNAcentral.
CUAUUAUUUUAUAAUGUAAAAGUUUAUUUAUAUUUACCUAAGUAUUAUGAAGAUUAUAUAUUUUAUAAAUUUGUUUAAAACUUAAAAGGUUUGGCGGUUUUACAUAUCCAGUUAGGGGAGUCUGUUAAUAUAAUUUGAUAAUCCACAUUUUAAACUAAUUUCUUCUUGAUAUUAUAAUUACUAGUUAUGUAAUUAUAACAGUUUAUAUAUUGCUGUCGUCAGUUUAUAUUUUAAGAGUGAAAGAACUAGAUAAUUUUUUUAUUUUUAUGUCAAGUCAAAAUGUAGCUUAUGAAGAAAGUUUAAUGGACUACUUUAAUUAAUUUUUUUUUUAUAAUCCGGAUGAUGAAAAUUAUAUUUUGUUAGUAAGGUGGACUUAAUAGUAAGUUAGUGAUUAGUAUGCAUAAUUGAAUAUUGGUUUUGUAAGAUGU